UCUACCCAGUGAUUAAUUUAAACGGUUAUAAAUUAUAUUAAAGUAGCGUAAUAAUUUAUCAUUUAAUUAAUGAAUAUAAUGAAGAUUUUAUGAGUUAAAUACUGUCUCUAAAAUAUAAAACAAAAUUAAUAAUUCAGUGAAAAAGCUUAAUUAUUUUUAAAAGACGAUAAGACCCUAUAGAACUUAUUUAAAGUUUUAAAUUUACUGGGGAAGUAAAAAUAAAAGUAAAAUUAUUUUUAAAUAUAUAAACUAUAAGUUUUUAUAACCAC
This 269-nucleotide ribosomal RNA is filed under the name Kladothrips morrisi. Its description in RNAcentral is "partial 16S ribosomal RNA". Lineage: Eukaryota; Metazoa; Arthropoda; Insecta; Thysanoptera; Phlaeothripidae. The record is from RNAcentral.